Molecule: ribosomal RNA, 329 nt
Filed under: uncultured Glomus
Lineage: Eukaryota; Fungi; Glomeromycota; Glomeromycetes; Glomerales; Glomeraceae
Description: partial 18S ribosomal RNA
Source: RNAcentral
CGUAAGGCGCCGAAUGAGUCAUUAAAAAAUUAACAUCAUCCGAUCCCUAGUCGGCAUAGUUUAUGGUUAAGACUACGACGGUAUCUGAUCGUCUUCGAUCCCCUAACUUUCGUUCUUGAUUAAUGAAAACAUCCUUGGCAAAUGCUUUGCAGUAGUCAGUCUUCAAUAAAUCCAAGAAUUUCACCUCUGACAAUUGAAUACCUAAUGCCCCCAAUAUCCCUAUUAAUCAUUACCGUCAAUCCUAGAAACCUAACAAAAUAGGAUCGAACGUCCUAUUUCAUUAUUCCAUGCUAAUGUAUUCAAGCGUAUGCCUGCUUUAAACACUCUAA